CCCUUAGAUGUUCUGGGCUGCACGCGCGCUACACUGAAGCUAUCAACACGUUUUCCCUCCCUGAGAAGGGCGGGUAACCUUUUGAAUCAGCUUCGUGGUAGGGAUCGGGGCUUGCAAUUGUUCCCCGUGAACCAGGAAUUCCUAGUAGACGCGAGUCAUAAGCUCGCAUCGAUUAAGUCCCUGCCCUUUGUACACACCGCCCGUCGCUACUACCGAUUGAACGUUUUAGUGAGGCAUUUGGACCGACGCAUCUCAGUUUAACCGCUGGUUUGUGUUGGAAAGACUUCCAAACUUGAGCGUUUAGCGGAAGUAAAAGUCGUAACA
RNAcentral lists this ribosomal RNA (324 nucleotides) under uncultured eukaryote. RNAcentral describes it as "partial 18S ribosomal RNA". It matches the Rfam family "Eukaryotic small subunit ribosomal RNA", at positions 1470 to 1796 of the family's 1831-position model. The record is from RNAcentral.